Molecule: transfer RNA, 71 nt
Filed under: Gorilla gorilla gorilla (western lowland gorilla)
Lineage: Eukaryota; Metazoa; Chordata; Mammalia; Primates; Hominidae
Also listed under: 1 other name
Rfam family: tRNA
About the family: Transfer RNA (tRNA) molecules are approximately 80 nucleotides in length. Their secondary structure includes four short double-helical elements and three loops (D, anti-codon, and T loops).
Source: Rfam by way of RNAcentral
UCCUUGUUAGUAUAGUGGUGAGUGUUUCUGCCUGUCAUGUGGAGACUGGAGUUUGAGUCCCCAACAGGGAG